AGAGUUUGAUCCUGGCUCAGAUUGAACGCUGGCGGCAGGCCUAACACAUGCAAGUCGAGCGGUAGCACAAGAGAGCUUGCUCUCUGGGUGACGAGCGGCGGACGGGUGAGUAAUGUCUGGGAAACUGCCUGAUGGCGGGGGAUAACUAGUGGAAACGGUAGCUAAUACCGCAUAACGUCGCAAGACCAAAGUGGGGGACCUUCGGGCCUCACGCCAUCAGAUGUGCCCAGGUAGGAUUAGCUGGUAGGUGGGGUAACGGCUCACCUAGGCGACGAUCCCUAGCUGGUCUGAGAGGAUGACCAGCCACACUGGAACUGAGACACGGUCCAGACUCCUACGGGAGGCAGCAGUGGGGAAUAUUGCACAAUGGGCGCAAGCCUGAUGCAGCCAUGCCGCGUGUGUGAAGAAGGCCUUCGGGUUGUAAAGCACUUUCAGCGAGGAGAAAGGGUAAUGUGUUAAUAAGACAUUGCAUUGACGUUACUCGCAGAAGAAGCACCGGCUAACUCCGUGCCAGCAGCCGCGGUAAUACGGAGGGUGCAAGCGUUAAUCGGAAUUACUGGGCGUAAAGCGCACGCAGGCGGUUUGUUAAGUCAGAUGUGAAAUCCCCGCGCUCAACGUGGGAACGGCAUUUGAGACUGGCAAGCUAGAGUCUUGUAGAGGGGGGUAGAAUU
This 671-nucleotide ribosomal RNA is filed under the name uncultured Serratia sp. RNAcentral's name for it is "bacterial SSU rRNA". It matches the Rfam family "Bacterial small subunit ribosomal RNA", at positions 8 to 668 of the family's 1533-position model. Lineage: Bacteria; Pseudomonadati; Pseudomonadota; Gammaproteobacteria; Enterobacterales; Yersiniaceae. The record is from RNAcentral.